GAGGACCGUAUUCAUGGAAGAGGAUUGAACAGAGAUGAAGUAGACAGUAUGUUGGAUAAAUCUGGAGUAAAGAACCCAGCAAUUGGUAAAGAUGAGAAUAUAUCGCCUCAAGUAAAAGGAGAUGAAGACAUGGGAGAUGAAAUUGACAGUAUGUUGGCUACAUUUGGAGAUGUGUGCAGCUGAACAGAGCGUUGAGGAAACGUCAGUGAUUUUAUAACUACUUAUCAUGUUGGGAGAUUGUUGUGAUGAUUGCCUGGACUCUCAGAUGUUACACAGGCUGCAUCAUUGGACUGAAAGUGAAUGGCCCAUGUGUUGCCACUGAUGUGAGCCAUUUGCCUGUUGUGCUUCA
RNAcentral lists this non-coding RNA (349 nucleotides) under Mus musculus (house mouse). Lineage: Eukaryota; Metazoa; Chordata; Mammalia; Rodentia; Muridae. The record is from RNAcentral.